Molecule: ribosomal RNA, 687 nt
Filed under: uncultured bacterium
Lineage: Bacteria
Description: bacterial SSU rRNA
Rfam family: Bacterial small subunit ribosomal RNA
Source: RNAcentral
ACGGGUGAGUAACACGUGAGCAACCUACCUUACACAGGGGGAUAGCCGUUGGAAACGACGAUUAAUACCGCAUAAGACCACAAUAUCGCAUGGUAUAAGGGUCAAAGAUUUAUCGGUGUAAGAUGGGCUCGCGUCUGAUUAGCUAGUUGGAAGGGUAAAGGCCUACCAAGGCGACGAUCAGUAGCCGGUCUGAGAGGAUGAACGGCCACACUGGAACUAAGACACGGUCCAGACUCCUACGGGAGGCAGCAGUGGGGAAUAUUGCACAAUGGGGGAAACCCUGAUGCAGCGACGCCGCGUGAGCGAAGAAGGUUUUCGAAUCGUAAAGCUCUGUCCUAUGAGAAGAUAAUGACGGUAUCAUAGGAGGAAGCCCCGGCUAAAUACGUGCCAGCAGCCGCGGUAAUACGUAGGUGGCAAGCGUUGUCCGGAUUUAUUGGGCGUAAAGCGCGCGCAGGUGGUUUAAUAAGUCUGAUGUGAAAGCCCACGGCUCAACCGUGGAGGGUCAUUGGAAACUGUUAAACUUGAGUGCAGGAGAGAAAAGUGGAAUUCCUAGUGUAGCGGUGAAAUGCGUAGAGAUUAGGAGGAACACCAGUGGCGAAGGCGGCUUUUUGGCCUGUAACUGACACUGAGGCGCGAAAGCGUGGGGAGCAAACAGGAUUAGAUACCCUGGUAGUCCACGCCGUAAAC